RNAcentral lists this ribosomal RNA (433 nucleotides) under uncultured bacterium. Its description in RNAcentral is "partial 16S ribosomal RNA". It matches the Rfam family "Bacterial small subunit ribosomal RNA", at positions 29 to 507 of the family's 1533-position model. The record is from RNAcentral.
AACGAACGCUGGCGGCAUGCCUAACACAUGCAAGUCGAACGAUACCUUCGGGUCUAGUGGCGCACGGGUGCGUAACGCGUGGGAACCUGCCCUUAGGUUCGGAAUAACUCCCCGAAAGGGGUGCUAAUACCGGAUAAUGUCUUCGGACCAAAGAUUUAUCGCCUUUGGAUGGGCCCGCGUUGGAUUAGCUAGUUGGUAGGGUAAAAGCCUACCAAGGCGACGAUCCAUAGCUGGUCUGAGAGGAUGAUCAGCCACACUGGGACUGAGACACGGCCCAGACUCCUACGGGAGGCAGCAGUGGGGAAUAUUGGACAAUGGGCGAAAGCCUGAUCCAGCAAUGCCGCGUGAGUGAUGAAGGCCUUAGGGUUGUAAAGCUCUUUUAACCGGGAUGAUAAUGACAGUACCGGGAGAAUAAGCGCCGACUAACUCCGUG